AAGUACACUGCAUAGCUAUCCUAGCAUUAACCUUUUAAGUUAAAGAUUGAGGGGUAUACCCUCUG
Molecule: transfer RNA, 65 nt
Filed under: Cercopithecus roloway
Lineage: Eukaryota; Metazoa; Chordata; Mammalia; Primates; Cercopithecidae
Description: tRNA-Lys
Source: RNAcentral